UUGGUCCGUAACCAACACCAUAGAUAUUCACCGUGGUGUAGUUUACAUGAACUUCCCAAAAUAGCAAAGGAUGCAUCAUCAUGGUUUAAUUUGUAUAAUCAAAGACAACCACUUGUUCAGUGAAUAACAGAAAUAAAUAAAUAAUGAUCAAAUGAAUUAAUAAAAUGAAAGUAAUAAACAAUACUUCUACAUGCCUAGCCAAAACUGUGAUAUGGUACAAAAUUGAAUAAUCCGCCUAUAAAAUAACUAGACUCUGUUGUAAAGUACCUGCAUAUAAUCAUAUAAAGAUGGAAAAUGUGUACUUUUUAGUGUACAGAUAACGUUUGUUAUAAGCGAGGAGUUACGUUUCUGCGAAUCGUCACAAACAUCGAAAAAGCAUGAAACCGAAAACGUACAAAUUCCCAUACAUUUUCGAAGCGAUAUACCAUGAAAGGUCUCAAUUUGUUGUCACCGGAGUCAAAUGGGGCACAAACUUUUCAACUUGGGACAUUCCACUCUUUGUGACUCUGCCUUAAUGUACAUGACUACAUCUGUAAGAGAAUAUGAAUUUGCAAAUGGCAUGAUGAAGGCAGUAGCUGUGCAUUAUCAAGUACAAUGAUACAAUACUAAGGAAGACAUACAAUUAUGUGUUAACUCUGUUUUGUCCUAUAGUUAUUUCCUGUAACACAAGAAAUAAGUGGAACUUCUGAUAUAAUGGAAUGAUUAUUUCUUGUUUUUAAUAUAACUUAUGAAAUUCAUUGCGGCUGAAAAAAAUCCUGAAAUAUGAUGAAAAUAUGAAUUGAAUUGAAUUAAAUGAAUUGAAUAGCUAUUCUUCUUGUUUUGGUAGUGGUGCAGAAAGGCAUUAUAGGAAAAUAAGCUGUGGAGUCUGAAAUUACAUGCAAAGUUCAGGCAAUAACACCACAUUGUAUCAUUUUAAAAAUAAAUUUUAAAAAAAUUUCAAGUUAUAGUACAGCAAAUACUUUAAAUGCUAAUGGAAUACAAUAUGUUCUUAGAAAGGUAUAUUUUAAAUUAUUAAAAAUGUAUUUAUAUAGCCUCUAUAUUUUACAUGUAUUUAUAUUGAUCAAUAUAUUUUACAACACUACUUAGUAUAUGAUAUUAGAAAACAUGACAUUCAGAAAAUCUUCAAUAGACGAGUGAAUUGAAUUACAUUCUGCUUUCAUUAGUAAGGCUUUUCAUUUGUGCAAUGUGUGCACAGUGAUAAUGGAACGGUUUCUUUUCUUUACAAUAAUGAUUUGGUUUUUGAAUUCAUAGCAUAGUUUUACAAGCUAGAAGUGGGAUAAAAUGUCAUCUUACUUCUCUUCAGUAGAGAUGAAAUUAUUCCACUUCAAAAUUCUGAGUAAACAUAUUUCAAAAAGUAAAGCCCCAUAGAAAAUUUACAUGCUGUCUCAUUGCAUGAUAUAUUUUUAUAUAAUGUGUGGAUGUUAUCUACAAAUGAGCCAUGAACACUAAUAUUCCUAGCAAAUAUAAUUUUUACUUUGCAACCAACUACACUAAAUGAUCAACCAAUACAUAGGAUAUGAACACACAGAAGCAAGGAGAUCAGGUGCAGAAUGACAAAUAUACUGACAUUUUCCAUUUCGGCUGACUGCCAGAUUAAGAUUUCAUGGGCUUUGAUAGGCUUAAUUUGUGAAAAUAUUCCUUCAAAUGUGGUAUUAGUAUUGUAUAAAACAUGUUUAAACACUUUAAUAUAAGAUAUGGCAACAAGAACUUGUAUUAUGUUAAUGUUGCACGACUGCAAGUAGGAGAAAUUAAGAGAAAAUAAAAAAUAUUUAAUAAAAAUA
Zootermopsis nevadensis is the source of this 1781-nucleotide long non-coding RNA. RefSeq lists it as uncharacterized. NCBI's taxonomy places the organism in Eukaryota, Metazoa, Arthropoda, Insecta, Blattodea, Termopsidae. The record is from RefSeq and is a predicted model, not a curated record.